Molecule: ribosomal RNA, 254 nt
Filed under: uncultured bacterium
Lineage: Bacteria
Description: partial 16S ribosomal RNA
Rfam family: Bacterial small subunit ribosomal RNA
Source: RNAcentral
UACGGAGGGUGCAAGCGUUUAUCCGGAUUCACUGGGUUUAAAGGGUGCGUAGGUGGGUUGGUAAGUCAGUGGUGAAAUCUCCGUGCUUAACAUGGAAACUGCCAUUGAUACUACUGAUCUUGAAUUUUCGGGAGGUAAGCGGAAUAUGUCAUGUAGCGGUGAAAUGCUUAGAUAUGACAUAGAACACCAAUUGCGAAGGCAGCUUACUACAGGAAUAUUGACACUGAUGCACGAAAGCGUGGGGAUCAAACAGG